GGAGGAAUACCCAAGAGGCUGAAGGGGCUGGCUUGGAAAGCUAGUAGGACGUUAACGCGUCGCGAGGGUUCGAAUCCCUUUUCCUCCGCCA
Molecule: transfer RNA, 91 nt
Filed under: Acholeplasmatales bacterium
Lineage: Bacteria; Bacillati; Mycoplasmatota; Mollicutes; Acholeplasmatales
Description: tRNA-Ser
Rfam family: tRNA
About the family: Transfer RNA (tRNA) molecules are approximately 80 nucleotides in length. Their secondary structure includes four short double-helical elements and three loops (D, anti-codon, and T loops).
Source: RNAcentral